Molecule: long non-coding RNA, 842 nt
Organism: Jaculus jaculus (lesser Egyptian jerboa)
Lineage: Eukaryota; Metazoa; Chordata; Mammalia; Rodentia; Dipodidae
Exons: 4
Source: RefSeq, a predicted model, not a curated record
CCAGGCUGGUCGCUGGGUGUCCUCCUGGUAGGGCCGAGCCCUGUUUGCGGCUGGGAGGGUUGAAUUACUCUUCCACCUCCUCCAUGUUGUAGCUCCGGCAAACUACGUCGCUCUUCCGGCUUUCACGGUGGCAGAUCCAGUAGCAGCAGCGGCACCAGCAGCAGCGAAUCCAGAAGUGGCAGCUUCAGCAGUGGCAGCAGCAGUGGGGGCUCCAGCAGCGGAAGCGCCAGCUCUGUGGGGCCACACCUGCCAGGCUCAGCUUGCCACACAGGAAAAGCCAGUACCCAGCUCCAGAAAACAGAAGUGGUCCAGCAAUCCAGCCAGCUUACUUGAACCCACAGGUCACAAAAGAGGAAUGUAUAACUGAAACUAAAAUCAUCCAAAAAGUUGCUUACAGCUCCUGUCAUCUGGAUGAGUAGUCCUGGGGAAUUCAAGGUGCAGCUGCCCUAGACUUGACCUCCUGAGUCUCCAGAUCCUCCCUCCUCCUUUCCAGAGGAAGCAGAAGGUUUCAAAUCAGGGAAAUUUGCUAUAAUACACUGGACCUAAAGUGACGGCAGCAUUCGUGACCUCACAGCAGCUGUGACUACAUGCACGAGACCUGCUCAAUGUGGGGACCAUCAACACUUGGUCACAGAUGCUGAAGGAGAGAAACAAGACAAUGUCAACGUAUAAAGACUGGGUAGAAAAGAGAAGGGUUCAGAGAAAUGGGGAUAAGCAACAGGACACAAAAGAGUGUAAUGGGAGAGGGAUAUAAUCAAAAACAUCAUGUAUAUGUAUGAAAAUUGUCAGUAAAUAGUUUUAUUCAUUUAAAAAUCAGACAAUAAAGAAGCAUUUUGCCUAAA